GAAUGGCAUCACGAAGGCUAUACUGUCUCCUUUCUCUAAUCAAUGAAACUGAUCUCCCCGUGAAGAAGCGGGGAUAAAAAUAUAAGACGAGAAGACCCUAUGGAGCUUAAAACUAAGUGGCACUAGUUCCUAUAUUAACAUUUUUAAGAAUUACUUCAGCUAUUUUGACCACUAGUUUUAGGUUGGGGUGACCGCGGAGCACAAAAUAACCUCCGCAUUGAACGGAGCCACGCCUGAGCAAAAAACUACGACUUUAAGCACCAAUAAAUUGACAUUAAUUGACCCAUUAUUUUGAUCAAUGAACCAAGUUACCCUAGGGAUAACAGCGCAAUCCACUUCAAGAGCCCCUAUCGACAAGUGG
Molecule: ribosomal RNA, 361 nt
Filed under: Dendropsophus berthalutzae (Bertha's treefrog)
Lineage: Eukaryota; Metazoa; Chordata; Amphibia; Anura; Hylidae
Description: partial 16S ribosomal RNA
Rfam family: Bacterial large subunit ribosomal RNA
Source: RNAcentral